UUUUUUUAUUGGCAGUAGCGAGCAUGGCUUUUUUUAAUGAGGUGUUUGGCAGCGUCCACUGGGGCAUGUAGGUACAGUGUGUGGGUAGAAGGGGCAGCCCUGGGCAACAUACCAGGCAAUGUAGAGUGAAAAAAUUCUAAAAGAUGGAGAAUUCUUUCAUGUGCUUUUAACAACCCCUUGCCUCUCCUAUAUAUCCUAGGUUGUUUGAUGAUUUCUUGCCAUUUAAAUGUGAAUUUUAGGUUCAGAGCAAGUAAUGUUUUAAGCAGGUCAUCCAGUCAUUAAAUAUAUUAACCAUGGAUCGUAUGCCCAUUAGUCAAACUUGAUGAAGAAUUAAGUCAGUUCUUAAGUUCAAUAGUCAGACAGCUUUUCUGAAUAGCCUGCUGUAUUGUGCUGGUGCUCUCCUGGCCACGACUGGGGACUUCUGGAGAAAAUAAAAAAAAAGUCAGUUGUUGAGCUUGAAAGCUGAGUCUUAUACUGGAUAACUUAAUCUCUGGGGAUGAGAAAUAAGGAGGAAUGUGAGAUGUAUAUGGAUCAGGAGGUUCUGUGUUUUGCAAAGACAUAAAAGAUACAGACCAGAACUGAGAAUUGUGAAUGGAGUUAGGAAAAUAAUGGAGAUGACUGCUAAAUCCAUGGGAUUCUCUGCUUAGUGGUGUCAGAAGGUGCUAUAAACAUGACAAAACAUAAUCAGCUGAACUAAGCCCAUAAAACCUAACAUAAUUAACUGUC
This 726-nucleotide long non-coding RNA is filed under the name Gallus gallus (chicken). The record is from RNAcentral. Lineage: Eukaryota; Metazoa; Chordata; Aves; Galliformes; Phasianidae.